RNAcentral lists this ribosomal RNA (279 nucleotides) under uncultured bacterium. Its description in RNAcentral is "partial 16S ribosomal RNA". It matches the Rfam family "Bacterial small subunit ribosomal RNA", at positions 506 to 784 of the family's 1533-position model. The record is from RNAcentral.
UGCCAGCCGCCGCGGUAAUACGUAGGGAGCAAGCGUUGUCCGGAAUUAUUGGGCGUAAAGGGUGCGUAGGCGGUUUUGUAAGUCAGAUGUGAAAUACCCAGGCUUAACUUGGGAGGUGCAUUUGAAACUGCAGAACUUGAGUAAAGAAGAGGUAAGUGGAAUUCCUAGUGUAGCGGUGGAAUGCGUAGAUAUUAGGAGGAACACCAGUGGCGAAGGCGGCUCACUGGCUCGAUACUGACGCUGAGGUGCGAAAGCGUGGGGAGCAAACAGGAUUAGAUA